ACUUGGAAAAGUCAGUCAAAGAGGGUAAAAACCCCGUAGACGAAAUGUGGAAGACACCUAGGAGGAUCCUGAGUACGGCGGAACACGAGAAAUUCCGUCGGAAUCCGGGAGGACCAUCUCCCAAGGCUAAAUACUCCCUAGUGACCGAUAGUGAACCAGUACCGUGAGGGAAAGGUGAAAAGCACCCCGGAAGGGGAGUGAAAUAGAACCUGAAACCGUGUGCCUACAACAAGUCAAAGCCCGUUAAUGGGUGAUGGCGUGCCUUUUGUAGAAUGAACCGGCGAGUUACGAUUGCAUGCGAGGUUAAGUUGAAGAGACGGAGCCGCAGCGAAAGCGAGUCUGAAUAGGGCGUUUGAGUAUGUAGUCGUAGACCCGAAACCAUGUGAUCUACCCAUGUCCAGGUUGAAGGUGCGGUAAAACGCACUGGAGGACCGAACCCACGUACGUUGAAAAGUGCGGGGAUGAGGUGUGGGUAGCGGAGAAAUUCCAAACGAACUUGGAGAUAGCUGGUUCUCUCCGAAAUAGCUUUAGGGCUAGCCUCGGAAUUGAGAAUGAUGGAGGUAGAGCACUGUUUGGACUAGGGGCCCAUCUCGGGUUACCGAAUUCAGAUAAACUCCGAAUGCCAUUCAUUCAUAUCCGGGAGUCAGACUGUGAGUGAUAAGAUCCAUAGUCGAAAGGGAAACAGCCCAGACCACCAGCUAAGGUCCCAAAAUAUAUGUUAAGUGGAAAAGGAUGUGGGGUUGCACAGACAACUAGG
This 757-nucleotide ribosomal RNA is filed under the name Enterococcus faecium. Its description in RNAcentral is "partial 23S ribosomal RNA". It matches the Rfam family "Bacterial large subunit ribosomal RNA", at positions 340 to 1097 of the family's 2925-position model. The record is from RNAcentral. Lineage: Bacteria; Bacillati; Bacillota; Bacilli; Lactobacillales; Enterococcaceae.